Molecule: ribosomal RNA, 483 nt
Filed under: uncultured bacterium
Lineage: Bacteria
Description: partial 16S ribosomal RNA
Rfam family: Bacterial small subunit ribosomal RNA
Source: RNAcentral
AUUGAACGCUGGCGGCAUGCUUUACACAUGCAAGUCGAACGGCAGCGCGGGCUUCGGCCUGGCGGCGAGUGGCGAACGGGUGAGUAAUGCAUCGGAACGUGCCCAGUAGUGGGGGAUAGCCCGGCGAAAGCCGGAUUAAUACCGCAUACGACCUGCGGGUGAAAGCGGGGGACCGAAAGGCCUCGCGCUAUUGGAGCGGCCGAUGUCGGAUUAGCUAGUUGGUGGGGUAAAGGCUUACCAAGGCGACGAUCCGUAGCUGGUCUGAGAGGACGACCAGCCACACUGGGACUGAGACACGGCCCAGACUCCUACGGGAGGCAGCAGUGGGGAAUUUUGGACAAUGGGGCAACCCUGAUCCAGCCAUGCCGCGUGCGGGAAGAAGGCCUUCGGGUUGUAAACCGCUUUUGUUCGGGAAGAAAUCCUCUGGGCUAAUACCCCGGGGGGAUGACGGUACCGGAAGAAUAAGCACCGGCUAACUACGUG